CCUACGGGAGGCAGCAGUGGGGAAUCUUGCGCAAUGGGCGAAAGCCUGACGCAGCAACGCCGCGUGCGGGAAGAAGGCUUUCGGGCUGUAAACCGCUUUCAGCAGGAACGAAAAUGACGGUACCUGCAGAAGAAGGAGCGGCCAACUAUGUGCCAGCAGCCGCGGUGAUACAUAGGCUUCAAGCGUUGUCCGGAUUUAUUGGGCGUAAAGAGUUCGUAGGCGGUCGAGUAAGUCGGGUGUGAAAAUUCUGGGCUCAACCCAGAGACGCCACCCGAUACUGCUUGACUUGAGUUCGAUAGGGGAGUGGGGAAUUCCUAGUGUAGCGGUGAAAUGCGCAGAUAUUAGGAGGAACACCGGUGGCGAAGGCGCCACUCUGGAUCGAUACUGACGCUGAGGAACGAAAGCAUGGGUAGCAAACAGGAUUAGAUACCCUGGUAGUCCAUGCCGUAAACGGUGGGCACUAGGUGUGGGUUUCUAUUAACGAAAUCCGCGCCGUCGCUAACGCAUUAAGUGCCCCGCUGGGGAGUCGGUCGCAAGACUAAAACUCAAAGGAUUGACGG
This 560-nucleotide ribosomal RNA is filed under the name uncultured bacterium. RNAcentral's name for it is "bacterial SSU rRNA". It matches the Rfam family "Bacterial small subunit ribosomal RNA", at positions 338 to 916 of the family's 1533-position model. The record is from RNAcentral.